This 443-nucleotide ribosomal RNA is filed under the name uncultured bacterium. Its description in RNAcentral is "partial 16S ribosomal RNA". It matches the Rfam family "Bacterial small subunit ribosomal RNA", at positions 338 to 795 of the family's 1533-position model. The record is from RNAcentral.
CCUACGGGAGGCUGCAGUGGGGAAUAUUGGACAAUGGAGGCAACUCUGAUCCAGCGACGCCGCGUGAAUGAAGAAGGCUUUCGGUAUUUUAAGCUCUAUCUGCAGGGAGGAAAGAACUGACGGUACCUGACUACUAAGCCCCUCCUAACUACGUGCCAGCAGCCGCGGUAAUACGGAGGGGGCAAGCGUUAUCCGGAUUUACUGGGUUUAAAGGGAGCGUAGACGGCGAGGCAAGUUUGAGGUGAAAGGCGGUGGCUCAACCCCCGGAUUGCUUUGGAUACUGUAUGGCUAGAGAGCAGUAGCGGUAAGUGGAAUGCAUAGUGUAGCGGUGAAAUGCGUAGAGAUUAGGAGGAACACCAGUGGCGAAGGCGGCUUACUAGGCUACAACUGACGUUGAGGCACGAAAGCGUGGGGAGCAAACAGGAUUAGAUACCCGUGUAGUC